UGUAGUGUCACAUUGUGUGGCACCACAUUCUGCAAUUAUCCUUAAUUUCUGAGCAUGAGUGUAGAACUCACUGUCACAUGAGAACCACUGAAAGACUCAUGGAGUUUCUGAAUGUAGCCUGACCCAUUGCUGCAUAAAUCCACUCAUGUGAACCCAGCUAGUAAAUCUGGAUCAGGUGUUCCAAGAAUUGCAGCUGACGGUCUCAAGGUCAUGUCUCCACCAAUUUAUAGGCGAAGAAUGCAGGUGUACCAGAAUCUGUUGAAAAUAUAUGUGGUCCAUCCCUAACAUCCACUCGUGUCUGACCAGCAAAUGCAGCAUUAUGCAGAUAGUCCAGUGCAAGACCCUGUCAUGAGCCCAUUUUGGGUUAUAGCACAUUAACAUUAUUAUUAUUAUUAUUAUUAUUAUUAUUAUUGUGUCAUAAAUAUGAAUCAAACAGCAAAGGUCCUUCCAACACCUAAAGGUUAGAAAAUGUGUAGAAGGAAAAAAGAAGUUUCUGUUAAACUGGAGAAGGGAACCUACACUCAUCUGAAGAGAUCAGUAGAUAGAAUAUGAUUGCAAAAUUUUACACAGGUUCUACAUAAAAUAAUUUUGUAUGUUUCGAAGAGUAGUGGCUGUCAUAAGUUAUCUUUCUCUAACAGCAGUAUCGGUACCCUGCUGCAACAUUUGAAUACCUCCAAAGCUUCUCCUAAUAGUCAGAUCAAUAAUAAUGCCAACUUCCACUGUUGGCAAAAUCCAUUGUCCAGAGAAGUGUGUAACAAUGUGCACAAGAGAUGUGCAGGUGUUCAGCAAAACUGCAGGAGAAGGCUUUCUAGACCUUGCACAAACACUGCCAGAAAUGGAGCACAGUACCCCAAUGCAAGUGCAAGAGACAUGCUUCAUUACCCGCCAACAAUUUCUCUGAAAUGUUGCAGGACAUAGAGAGUCUUGUGUUUGCAUAUACAAUUGACAUGUGGACAUAAGCGUACACUAAAAUGCAUUACUUGACUCUUACUAUGCAUUCAGUCUCAUGAGAAUUGCAGUGCAAAACUCAGGUCCUGUUCGUUGGAUAGCUUCCAUCUGAUAUGGAGAAAAGUACUACAAAUAUACUGGACGAAACUGAAACUAACAUGAGCAAGUUAAGGAUAUUUGCAAGCCACCUGUAGAGGAUGACUGGCCAGGGGGGCAAACAUGAAAAAGGCACAAGAGAACUAUUGUCAUUUUCCAUAUAACAAGCACUCCUUCAGGACUUUUCUGUGCCACGCCCUUGAGGACAAAUGCUUGCAGGUAUCCUGCCUUAAAGUUUAUGCACAAUUGGAAUCAAUGAAAAAUGUCAUAAAUUAUUUAAAAAGAAGUGACCUUGCAAAACUCAUAGUUUACCGUAAAGCAGCACACUAAGACUUUGCUGGAAUACCUUGUGUACCAUGCUAAAAUGCGUGUUUAUGGAGCAUGAACAAAUUGCUGAAUUUUUAUGUGACUUCAGAAAACCACACAUGUCUGGGAGCUGGGAUUGCCAAGUAAGGUGACAAAUUAAUUCAGUUUCUCUAACUACUUCAAACACUAUUGAAGCUGACAGUCGUCUGAUGCAGCAGUUGCUUAUGCCAUUGGUGUACCAGGUUCAGGAACACUGUGCUGAUAAUGCAGCUAACAGUAAGGUAAGCACUCUCACAUAUAAAAUGAUGCAUUUACAAACAAAUAAAAUUUAUACUUUGGUUAAUCACCCAAAACUGGAUAAGAGAUCAUAUUCAACGAAGAUGGUGUGCCUCAAUAUUGUUAAACAUUUGCAGGAAACAGCAUUGCUGAAGGCAUGCUCAAAUACCUUAAUUGAAAAAAAUGGAAAUAAAGCCAGUGCUUUUGUUUGCAUUAUUUCUAGUACCACAGUUGCAUCAGCUAGAGCAACUCUCAGUAACUGAGAGAGGGAAGUUUAUGCCACAGAAAAUUCCAAACGUGCUGCGUUUCAAGAAAGUCAUACAGAGAACAUGCAGAAAGAAUGUCUUUUCAUUGUGAGUGGAAGGGGAGGAAACUAUCAAAGACAUUUCCAUGUGUCUGUUGAUGGGAAUACCAGAUGAGAGGCAGUCGUUUCUGAAGUGGUGGAAGUCAAGAGCAAAAUCUUAUCCCAGACUGUCACAAGUGGCAGAAGAAGUUCUGUGUACAGCUACCUCAAGUGCCUCUAGUGAGAGCGUAUUUAGUGGAGAUGGGCUUGUCAUUAUGGAUAAAUAUAAUGGGAUGUAUAUGGAAAAUGUGAAUGACUUGCUUACAUUCUAUUUUUGUUAUUAUAAAUAUCUAACGUCUCAACUGUUUGUUUCAGGUAUAAAUUCAUUGUGAAGGUGAUUACAACAUUACCAGAUGAAGACUACUUCUUUAUUUAGUUGAAGCAAGGAAGUUUACAAUAAACUUCACGAGUUUCUUGUCUGAA
Schistocerca americana (American grasshopper) is the source of this 2392-nucleotide long non-coding RNA. RefSeq lists it as uncharacterized. Lineage: Eukaryota; Metazoa; Arthropoda; Insecta; Orthoptera; Acrididae. The record is from RefSeq and is a predicted model, not a curated record. The transcript has 2 exons.